Non-coding RNA from Camellia sinensis, 887 nucleotides. Lineage: Eukaryota; Viridiplantae; Streptophyta; Magnoliopsida; Ericales; Theaceae. The record is from RefSeq and is a predicted model, not a curated record.
GCGACUAAAGUUUUAGUAGCCAAAAACGUACUUUCAGCGACAAAAAAUUAUUUUUGUCGCCUUUAGCUAACUUUUUCCGACUAAAAGUUUAGUCGCCUUUAGCUAUUAACAUUUUCAAAGAAAGAUUUUGAAUUUUUGGCGGGCUCCUUAAUUAAUUAACGACGAACCUAUAUUUUAGUCGGGGAAGGGAUGUAAAAUGAAUGGCUAAGAUCGAUCACUUGAAGAACCAAUGGAUGGAGAUCACUACCUCACCAAUAAAAUAUUAGGGUAGGUGAAGAGAAGAAGAGAAGAUGAAGGGGGCGAAGUCGUCCCGUUGCGUCGCCAUCCCGCUGCCGCUCCUCCUCACGUUCGUCGGCAACCGAAGCACCUCCUCCUCCUCCACCAUCGCCAUUGUGACUGCUGCGAUCACCAUUGCCGCCGCUACCACCUGCAUUGCUGCCCUCUUUUCACGCCGCCGCCUCCCCCUCCUCUGCCGAUCUUCGCAGAUCCACCACUGCCGCCGCGAGAUCCAGAGGCUUCAUCGCUGAGAAGAGACUCCAUUGAUGCUCCGUCUCGCGGCACUAUGUUCCCCAGCUUGCAGAACAAAUUUUGCACAAUAAUAAGAAUGCUCCAAAGGAUGACUAUAUAAACCUCAAAGGUUUUAUUAUGACUUUGAUGCGUGGACUUCCAGAGAUAUUUUGGUGUAUAGAGAAGAAAUUGUACUUUUGUAUAGAAGUAAUAUAAUACUUUUGUAAAUGUCGUUUCACAUGGUAUAGUAAAUGUAAUUUUUGUAUAUGGAGGGAGGGCUUUACUUUUUGUAUGAUUCUAUAUUUUGUAUGGAAUUAUUAUUUUAGCAUGCACAAUAAUUGGUUUGUAUGUACUUGGAUAGUUAAAGUAAUUUAUUUUUU